GACGAACGCUGGCGGCGUGCUUAACACAUGCAAGUCGAACGGUGAACGAGGGAGCUUGCUCCCUCCGGAUCAGUGGCGAACGGGUGAGUAACACGUGAGCAAUCUGCCCCGAACUCUGGGAUAAGCGUUGGAAACGACGUCUAAUACCGGAUACGGCGCGGGAGGGCAUCCUCUCCGCGUGGAAAGAACUUCGGUUCGGGAUGAGCUCGCGGCCUAUCAGCUUGUUGGUGAGGUAACGGCUCACCAAGGCGACGACGGGUAGCCGGCCUGAGAGGGUGACCGGCCACACUGGGACUGAGACACGGCCCAGACUCCUACGGGAGGCAGCAGUGGGGAAUAUUGCACAAUGGGCGCAAGCCUGAUGCAGCAACGCCGCGUGAGGGACGACGGCCUUCGGGUUGUAAACCUCUUUUAGCAGGGAAGAAGCGAAAGUGACGGUACCUGCAGAAAAAGCACCGGCUAACUACGUG
This 470-nucleotide ribosomal RNA is filed under the name uncultured bacterium. RNAcentral's name for it is "partial 16S ribosomal RNA". It matches the Rfam family "Bacterial small subunit ribosomal RNA", at positions 28 to 507 of the family's 1533-position model. The record is from RNAcentral.